Prionailurus viverrinus (fishing cat) is the source of this 1796-nucleotide long non-coding RNA. RefSeq lists it as uncharacterized. The record is from RefSeq and is a predicted model, not a curated record. Lineage: Eukaryota; Metazoa; Chordata; Mammalia; Carnivora; Felidae. The transcript has 3 exons.
GCCCGCCUCCCCCACCAGGACCCUGCCCAGGCUGGAGCUCCCUCACACCAGGCAGAGCGCCCCCCCACCCCCCCUUCAGCAUCUGUAAGACAACGGAUGCCUUUUCACGAAGAUGGCUCUUCAGGGAAAAUGCACCCCUCUCCAACCUCGGGUAGUUUUUCCUGACCGGCUUUACCCCUGGGGGGCCCAAACACCUGCUCUUGGGGAAGGGCCUACCCUGGCUGGUUGGGCCCCCCGGCACCAGGUGGAGCAGGGGUCUCACCCUCACGGAGUAACAGCAGUUGAUGGAAGAUGCUGGAAGGGAGUCCCUCUCCCGCCUCAGCCAGCCCGCCGGCCAGCCGCUGUUGUUUCUCUAAAGAUAAACUGUUUCACUUUGAACUUCCUCCUUGAGAAUUCUGAAUUCGUGACCUGUCUCGUGAGCUUGGCAAAGGGCCUGGACAGAGUAAGGAUAUUCCCACCGCCCCCCCCCCCCCGGUGUGCAUGUGAUUGCACGUCAGAGCCCGGGUCUCUGGGCGCCCUCCCCCCAAGUGGUGGAGCCUGGGUCUCGGGGUGCCCCCCGCCCGAGUGGUAGCUGGCAGGGCACCUGGAACCCAGCUGGCGCUCUGCGGUCGGUGUAUUUGCAUCCCCUAAAAUUCAAGGUUUCACCUUGAAACCUAAGCCCCCACUAGAGAAGUGAGGACUUUGGGAGGCGAGUAGCUUACAAGGGGGAAGCCCCAUGAUGGGAUCAGUGCCCUCGAGAGGGGACCUCAGAGAGCUCCCUCGCCCCUUCUUCCGGGUGAGGACACAGCAAGAAGUCGGUCAUCUGUGACCCAGAAGAGGGUCCUCAGCAGACCCCGACCCCGCCGGCACCCGGAUCUCAGCCUUGCAGCCCCCGGUCUGCGGUAAUCUGUGAGCAGCCCAGACGGACUGAGACAGCGGGCGUCAGCACCCCUGCCGGGGUGCGCUGGCUCUCAGGCCAGGCUGGGGAGGAAUGGAGAGGCUGAGGCCAGAGGGACCCUCGCUUUCCCCGGAGGAGGGCGUUCUCAGGGCCCAGGCCCACCCCCAGCUGGGCUACAGAAGGCCCGGGUGGGGUGACGAAUCUCCGGGGUUUCUCCCACCCUCAGCAGUGUGUCCAAGCACGUCAAUAGGGGAUUUGGGGACAGUCAGGAGCCCCUCGCUGGAGCCUGCAGCCUCAAUGCGGCAGGAAAUGCCCGGAGUGGAGACCACGGGCUCCUCAGGCUCCUCAGGGCCCUGCCCCCCAGUCCACGGUGCUGCCCACCACACGUGGCCCCCGAGCACUCACUCUGUGGCCAACGGGCCCUGCACUUGGUUCCAGACAUCUAGCGUGACCAGAGAACGUGUGACAACACGCUCAUCACUGACCUGGGAGGAGGGGCCGACAGGGGGACAAAGGCCGCGAUGGCAAGGGCAGGUCUGAGGAUGGGCGCAUCAGGGACAACUGACCAGCAGAGAGAGGACAGUGCCUGCAGGUGACAGCAGGGGACGCCGGCGGAGGUGGCGAGGCCCAGGCUUCUGAGCGGCCAGCUGGGCCUGAAGGUGCCUCAGGGACCGGGGGGCCGGCUGUCUCCCGGGGCUGCCGCUCCAGCCGGGACCCCUCCCUCCGCAUCCUGGACUGAGGGCUGGAGAGUGACAGGCUGUAGACUGAGGGCUGGAGAGGUGAGGCCCCGGGGGAGACAGCGUGACCCAGGCAGCGGGAAGGAAGGACAGGCCCAUUUCAGUGGCCCAAGGGGACUUGGGGCGGCUGCCUACGUGGGUGCCCCCCCUCCCCCGCUGCUUGGCCCCGGGCGGGUGUGCGG